Non-coding RNA from Cervus elaphus (red deer), 73 nucleotides. The record is from the annotation of a RefSeq genome assembly. NCBI's taxonomy places the organism in Eukaryota, Metazoa, Chordata, Mammalia, Artiodactyla, Cervidae.
UCCCUGGUGGUCCAGUGGUUAGGACUCUGUGCUUUCAUUGCGGAGGGCCCAGGUUUAAUCCCUGGUGAGGGAA